GAUCCUUCCAAGCCUGCUUCUGACCCCCACAGUCAGCCGAUCCCUUUGCCACCCGGCAAGUGGCAGAGGAAGCGUUGACCAUAGGAAGGGCCUUCAAGUCAACGUGUUUCCCAUCGUCGAGAAGCACCCUAGAGGGAGACCAAAAUUGUUGACCCUACACGAUUCAGGAUCCAUUUGGUGAAAGUUUCAAGCUGACCCAGUUCAUCAAAACUCCAUUUUUGAUCACAACUGGCAAACAAACACCCGGGCCUGUCCAAAUUAGGCAAGAACUGCCCAAAUCAGUCCAUUCUUAGCCUAUUCAACUUUACCCAAACGGGGUUUAAGGGUUUUUGAUCGACCAAUCCAAGCCCAACCCAGAUCCUGAUCCAGAUCAGGAAUGGCAAAUCCAUCCCAAUUGACUCAUACUGGAUACAAAUCACCAAAUUUGGGCAAGAACUGGAUGAAUCUAGGGCUUAGCUGGACAAGAUUAAAGGGCCCAGAUUGGCUGGUCUGACCCUCAUCCUGAUCAUGCAUCAAAAAUCCGUCCGAUCCACCUCAGAUCAGAUCAAAUCGGGCUGAAAUCGACUAAUUAUUGGCAGAUUUCACCUAAUAUUGGGUCGAAAUCGACUAAUUCACCAUCAUUCUUUGGUCAAAUAAUGCAGAGAGACUAUGCAGCAAUUAACCGGAGAAGCAUACCAAAAUCAGGCAACCCCCCGAGUCAACGGUUGUAUGAUAUGAUAUCCACAGCACCAACUUUUAUCCCCUCCCCAUUCCAUCUGAUGGGCAUAUUCUCCAGAAGCUCGGGCUCCUUCCCAUCAUCCUUCAAUCAAAUAAUUGCAGAGAUAGGGCAGCAUUUGACCUGAGAAACAUACCAUAAUCAGCAGCCCGCCGAGUCAACGGCUAUAUGAUAUGCUAUCCUCAACUGCUACAGUUACCCAGUGCAUCUGAGGGGGCCACGAUGAUUGGCCAAGACUUCAUCUUUUUUUCUAACGGAAACAUGGGCACAUUAUCCAGAAGCUCGGGCUCCUUCCCAUCAUUCUUCAAUUUAUAAUUGCAGAGAUAGGGCAGCAUUUGACCUGAGAAACAUGCCAUAAUCAGGCGGCCCGCCGAGUCAACGGUUGUAUGAUAUCCAGUCCAUCUGAUGGGGCCAAGAAUUCAUCUUUUUUUUCUAACGCAAACCUGGGCACAUUCUCCAGAAGCUCGGG
Molecule: long non-coding RNA, 1184 nt
Filed under: Spirodela polyrhiza (greater duckweed)
Lineage: Eukaryota; Viridiplantae; Streptophyta; Magnoliopsida; Alismatales; Araceae
Description: long non-coding RNA (SPOL_LNC001594)
Source: RNAcentral